RNAcentral lists this long non-coding RNA (297 nucleotides) under Ananas comosus (pineapple). Its description in RNAcentral is "long non-coding RNA (ACOM_LNC022420)". Lineage: Eukaryota; Viridiplantae; Streptophyta; Magnoliopsida; Poales; Bromeliaceae. The record is from RNAcentral.
UUGAAUCAUCUAUAUCUAUUCCAUUAGCACCAUCUGUAUUUUUGGUAGCUUGAUCUCUAUUCUCCUCCGCUUGAUCUCCUAUAUUCAAAAUUUCUUCGUCCCCAAAUUCCUUCUCUCCUUGGUCAUCCACGGAUUUAUCAUCUCUAUAUAAUGGUUGUUCAUCAGUCUGUACCCUCAAAUUGGCACUAGAAUAUCUCUGACCAAAUUCGUUACCACCAGUCCCUAAACUGUCAGAGCUAAUUUGGAUGCUGUUACUCUUAAUUGUUACAAAAAGCUCCAAAACUUUGACAUCGCUAU